This is a long non-coding RNA of Cyprinus carpio (common carp), 473 nucleotides long. The record is from Ensembl. NCBI's taxonomy places the organism in Eukaryota, Metazoa, Chordata, Actinopteri, Cypriniformes, Cyprinidae.
AUAUAAUAACUAGAUUGUUUUCACAUGAACUGAACAAUCUUUUAAUACCUGAAUUAAUUUACAUUAAAAAGGAUUCAGUGUUUCAUUGGCAUUUGUGUUUCAUUGUGUCAGUGUUGUAAAUGAUAUUGUGAUGUUAUUACUUCAUCUUUUCUGUUUUACAGACAAGAUUAAAACAUGGGUUCGAAUUUACAGUUCUACAGCAGAAUAUAUUGUUUUCUCAGCUGUUUUUUAUUCAGUUCUGUUUAAAUCUGCCGUGGACAAGAGUCUGAAUUACGCUGGAUUUGAAGGAGUCAUGAUUAUAAUUCUCUCUGUGAUGGUGAUUCUGUUCACCCUCUUCUAUAUUAUUUCCUUGUUGCUGAGAUUGAUUGGUAAAUCAAGUCAGCGGGUGAUUACUAUAUUCGGUGUUCUGGCUGGAAUAAGUUUUAAUAUUCUGCCUUCACUUCAGUUCAUCCUCAUCUUCUACUCCUUUGGAU